Molecule: long non-coding RNA, 785 nt
Organism: Gallus gallus (chicken)
Lineage: Eukaryota; Metazoa; Chordata; Aves; Galliformes; Phasianidae
Exons: 3
Source: RefSeq, a predicted model, not a curated record
GCCGUUGCUGGGCGGCGCUCGAGGGUCUCCGCGCGGCUCGCGCACAGGGAGCGCGAGGUGUAGUGAGGCUGCUUUCUCCAGUUCGGUUCCAGCCUUAAGCCAAAGUUGUUAGGCAAGAAGAGACUGCACCUGUUUUUGCCCUGCACGCACGGUGCGUGCACAAAGUGCAAGCGGGCAGCUGUGAGGCAAUUAGGUAGCCACCUAGAGACAGCAGCUGGCGAAGAUAAAUUCAUCAGCACUUAAGCACCUUUUGUAAAUCAAUGACUAGAUGCUGAGUACGGCAGAAGCCGAAAGUUCCUACCAAUAUUCCAUCCCCUUUUGUUGUUGUGCGACAGGUGGCAGUGGAGGGUCUGACAAAAUGGCCUCUGACAUAAAAGGGCAGAGGAAGCAAAGUCUCCACAGAAAUCAUCAGGAGGCAUUACUUUGGGAGCAACCUACUCAGCACGCGGAGCAGAAGCUAAUGCAACUAGACGAAAAUAGCAACAACACGUCUACAAUUAAACCCACUGAACAAAAGAAAAGCAGCAAAGAGUCACAUUUAAUACAACAUGGUAAAUUAACCCUUUAUUGCGCUUUCAAACAUAUACAUGACAUUUGUCUCCCACAAUUGAGUAUUUCAACACUGAUGCUACAUCUGUCACUUAUAACAUCGCUUGAAGUUGCAACACUUCAGGCACUGAUACUGCAGUUGGCUGAGUUGGAGUUUUAAGUAUUUACAAAGCUAAUUAAUUACAUAACAUUGUAAUAGCAAUAACUUUUAAACAAACAGUUUAUGCAAUACAAAA